AACCACCUUUUGAAAAUACCACGUAAUUAUUUAAAAAGAAACUAGAUUAUCUGAACCACAAAACCGUAAAGGUUUAUGGGAACAACUUUCCUUUUCUGAUACUUUAUUUUAAACUGGAAACCAGUUUCUUCACAAGAUCAUCAGAAACUUUUGUGUAAAGCUGUGAAGGGAUACAUACAGUUACUUUAUUGCCUUUUUUUCUUUCGACAGGUCUUGUUCAAAGUAAUUCUGUGUUUCUGUCUCCUGAAGAAAUGCAAAUCUCUGAGGGGCAACACGCAACAUUGCAGCGUAAUUUCACCGCCUCUUUCACCACACCAAAUCCGCUCUGGUCCAAUCAGUGUCCGAACCGACAGCCCCAGCAAUUGGCAGCGUAUCAAUCUCCUGCUGAGAACACGGUCACUGCUGGAACAUUUUCAUCAGUUUUGUUCCACGCUAAUAAGACAGUUCCCUUGAAGACUGAGUCUGUAUGAACAGCCAUGUAUCACUGCGCUGUGAGGUACGCAGUGGGGCAGAGCUGCCUCUCCGGCGGUACGAGAAGUGAUCGAGGUCCUUACACACACCGGGGGUGGCAGAGACUGUUUUUCUGCCUGACUGUUAUUUUAUGACCCGUCUCUGCGAAGUUCAGUUCCUUCUGCUCUUCCCAUGUCUGGGAGGAUCUUUCCGUUUCUACCCCUGUGCGGUGUUAUAGCCCCACGCUGUGCAAACCAAGCCCGACGUCUUAUUAUCUCAGUUACAUUUAUGUGAGUUAACAAAUACACGAAUUUACAAACUUUCAGUGAAAAUAUUUGUUGUCAAUAAAACAAAUCACUCCAUAAAACUUGAAAAAUGGUAACGGGAUCUCCUGCAGCUGGAAAAUAAACCGGGCCAGGUUCUGAUCUCUGUUCCAUCACCGCAACUCUGGUCUAACUAAUCGGGGCAGCGGGUUCUUUAAUGUGAAACGUCUCAGCUCCACUAAAAUCAACGUCCAUCCACUCAGGUCUCUCUGUCCGUCAGUCUUUCUGUUUGCCCAUCUUCUUACACAAGGUAGUCUCUCUGGUUCCCCGGUGAGGCAAAGUCCAUUUCAUGUCCAAACGUUUUAUCAACUGCAUAGAGACAGUCACAGCUACAAACAAACCUUUUUGAAUGCUGGGAGUGGGCAGAAGAGCCACCAAACAGAGACAGUUUCCCAUAGAAAUCAGUAGCAAACACCACUCCCCUCCCCUAGUCUCCUCUGGGUUUGGGCAUUGAGGUCAGAUCCGCCCCUCUCGACUUUUUAGGGCGGCACGUUGGUCGGAUUAGAACAUUCAAAUAACAAUCAAUCCCCUUGCUUCGCUGUUGUGUUUUCACCGCCUCUUUGUGACUCUAAGUCCGCUAAACAAAGGCCAUGCGUUUUGUUCUAAACCUUUUUAUACUCACUCUAUGUCCAGGUGCUGCGCUGGCCGAUUCGAUCCAGUCCAAGGAACCCCAAGUGUCUGGAGUAGAAGGAGGCUCGGUGACAUUCAGCUGUUCCUACAAUACCACCGAUUUUUCGGGCGUCUAUCUCUACUGGUACCGACAGUCUCCUAACCGAGCCCCCCAGUACAUUCUGAGGAGAGGAACCAAGGCGUACGCUACUUAUAGCGAAAAUGCGGAUUUCGCUCAGGAGAGGUUUUCUUCCCAGGCUGCUGACAGCUCCACAGUUCUGAACAUCACAGCGCUGGAGCUGGCAGACACAGGGGUGUAUUACUGCGCCUUGCAGCGGGCACAGUGACAGAGCCACGGAGCAGAGCUGUACAAAAUCCCUCCCUUCCUUCCCAUUCACCCGCCCUGCACUGGGGAGAGACCAGAGACAGGCCUCCCCAAAGCCCCGCAGUCUCACCCCAGUCACAGGUACAGAUACAGCUCUGCUGUAGGUGACAGGCAAUUACAGACGGGGCUGUCCCAGCCCCACAUCUUGCUCGCUCAAAGGAAAGCUUCGGGCUGAG
This is a non-coding RNA of Chelonoidis abingdonii (Abingdon island giant tortoise), 1943 nucleotides long. The record is from the annotation of a RefSeq genome assembly. Lineage: Eukaryota; Metazoa; Chordata; Testudines; Testudinidae.